RNAcentral lists this ribosomal RNA (528 nucleotides) under uncultured bacterium. RNAcentral's name for it is "bacterial SSU rRNA". It matches the Rfam family "Bacterial small subunit ribosomal RNA", at positions 18 to 518 of the family's 1533-position model. The record is from RNAcentral.
CCUGGCUUAGGACGAACGCUGGCGGCGUGCCUAAUACAUGCAAGUCGAACGGUCUUUCUAUGGAAGCUUGCUUCCACUGAGAAGAUAGUGGCGAACGGGUGAGUAACACGUGGGUAACCUGCCCAUAAGAGGGGGAUAACAUCCGGAAACGGGUGCUAAUACCGCAUAGUUUUCUUGAUCGCAUGAUUGAGAAAGGAAAGACGGCCUUUGUGCUGUCGCUUAUGGAUGGACCCGCGGCGUAUUAGUUAGUUGGUGAGGUAACGGCUCACCAAGACGAUGAUACGUAGCCGACCUGAGAGGGUGAUCGGCCACAUUGGGACUGAGACACGGCCCAAACUCCUACGGGAGGCAGCAGUAGGGAAUCUUCCGCAAUGGACGAAAGUCUGACGGAGCAACGCCGCGUGAGUGAAGAAAAGGUUUUCGGAUCGUAAAACUCUGUUGUCAGAGAGGAACAAGUUGGAGAGUAACUGCUCCAGCCUUGACGGUAUCUGACCAGAAAGCCACGGCUAACUACGUGCCAGCAGCCGC